CGUAGGAGGCGAGCGUUAUCCGGAUUUACUGGGUGUAAAGCGCGUGCAGGCGGUUCGCUAAGUUGGGUGUGAAAGCUCCUGGCUCAACUGGGAGAGGUCGCUCAAAACUGGCGAACUGGAGAGGUGGUAGGGGAAGGUGGAAUUCCGGGUGUAGUGGUGAAAUGCGUAGAUAUCCGGAGGAACACCAGUGGCGAAAGCGGCCUUCUGGACCAUUUCUGACGCUCAGACGCGAAAGCUAGGGUAGCAAACGGGAUUAGAGACCCCGGUAGUCCUAGCCGUAAACGAUGUGAACUUGGCGCUGGUGGGGUAAAACCGGUCAGUGCCGUAGCUAACGCGAUAAGUUCACCACCUGGGGACUACGGCCGCAAGGUUA
RNAcentral lists this ribosomal RNA (373 nucleotides) under uncultured organism. RNAcentral's name for it is "bacterial SSU rRNA". It matches the Rfam family "Bacterial small subunit ribosomal RNA", at positions 526 to 896 of the family's 1533-position model. The record is from RNAcentral.